This 497-nucleotide ribosomal RNA is filed under the name uncultured bacterium. RNAcentral's name for it is "partial 16S ribosomal RNA". It matches the Rfam family "Bacterial small subunit ribosomal RNA", at positions 28 to 507 of the family's 1533-position model. The record is from RNAcentral.
GAUGAACGCUGGCGGCGUGCCUAAUACAUGCAAGUCGAGCGAACAGACGAGGAGCUUGCUCCUCUGACGUUAGCGGCGGACGGGUGAGUAACACGUGGAUAACCUACCUAUAAGACUGGGAUAACUUCGGGAAACCGGCGCUAAUACCGGAUAAUAUAUUGAACCGCAUGGUUCAAUAGUGAAAGACGGUUUUGCUGUCACUUAUCGAUGGAUCCGCGCCGCAUUAGCUAGUUGGUAGGGUAACGGCUUACCAAGGCAACGAUGCGUAGCCGACCUGAGAGGGGGAUAGGCCACACUGGAACUUGACCACGGUCCAGACUCCUACGGGAGGCAGCAGUAGGGAAUCUGCCGCAAUGGGCGAAAGCCUGACGGAGCAACGCCGCGUGAGAGAUGAAGGUCUUCGGAUCGUAAAACCCUGUUAUUAGGUAAGAACAAAUGUGGAAGUAACUAUGCACGUCUUGACGGUACCUGAUCAGAAAGCCACGGCUAACUACGUG